Molecule: small nuclear RNA, 160 nt
Filed under: Dasypus novemcinctus (nine-banded armadillo)
Lineage: Eukaryota; Metazoa; Chordata; Mammalia; Cingulata; Dasypodidae
Description: U1 spliceosomal RNA (ENSDNOG00000026369.1)
Rfam family: U1 spliceosomal RNA
About the family: U1 is a small nuclear RNA (snRNA) component of the spliceosome (involved in pre-mRNA splicing). Its 5' end forms complementary base pairs with the 5' splice junction, thus defining the 5' donor site of an intron.
Source: RNAcentral
GAAGCAAAGUGUUACUGGAGAUAUCAUGAUCACAAAGGUGGCUUACCCGGGACAGGGCUUAUCAGUGCACUCUAGGUGUGCUGGUCCCUUGAUUUCUCCAAAUGUGGGAAAGUGGACUGCAUAACUUGUGAUAGCAGAGGACUGCUUGGGCACUCUUCCU